GGAAGUUGCAAUUGAACUCAUCUUCCCAGAGCCCAGAGUGGUUUUCUCGCUCCCGUAAGAGGUAGCUGCUACUUAUCAAAGGUUCCAGCUCUCUAGAUGCUACAAACACGAAGUUAUUUCAAUAAUACAUAUCUAAACCAGACUGCAAGGCUAACAUCAAAAAAGGUUUUUUGGGAAAGAUAUAUAGCUUUUGGCAGAAGAAAAUCAGUGACAAUGACUUAGAAGAAUCUUAAUCUCAUGAAAGAAAUAAAUGCUUGUCAGUCAAGAAGUUGUAACCUUUACCUUGUUUUGACCUUUACAUUUUCAAGUGAUACACUUAUGUGAGAUUUUGAAAAGUGAAAAAUCAAAGGUGGAAUUGACCAGUAGAUGUAAAAGUACAACAAAUAAACAAAAAUGGCAAUGUUGAAAGUGAAACUGAAAUUCAACAGAAAUAAAAGAAAUAGCAGACUGGGGGGAUAUUGACUUUGACACCAUGAUGCCAGAGGAACUUAGUGAUGGCAAACUUAUCAAUAUAAAAUGAGGAUAUUGGUUGUCAACUAGGUUGUGUGGUGGUCCUUGAUCUUGUCCAUCAAGUCCUUUUUCCCAAAGGAUAACUGAAGAAGAUCACAUACAUUCCAACUUAUUGAGUCUGAUAGGUAUUCAUCUGAUGAGCUCCUCUUCAACUGAGGAUUGAAAUGCUGUUUUUCUUCCCUGGUACAAUGUUAAAGCUUUAAACUCUUGUCAAUGAUGUGAUGUUUCAUCUGCAAUGAUCUACACUAGAAAAAUAAAAAUGUAGUUACUGACAAAAAAGCAGGAACUACUGCUCUAAGGAAAAAAGGACAGCUACAUGAGGACCACACAACUCCUGGAAGAGGUUUCCCUGGCAACACAACUUUUCCAUUCAUCUGGUUGCAGUGUUUUCAUCCAGUAGCCUGUCACCUCACUCAAAAGCAGGGCAAUGGAGAGAAAGAAACUUACCAAGUUUUUUCUUUUAACUAGAGAGUAGCCUACUUAUUGGGCCCUGCAAUUAAUUUCAGUACUCCAGGCAGAUUUAUAAAGGAAGCUGCUGGAAGGAAUUCAUUCCCUUUUUGCUGUUCUGCCUUCCACCUUCCACUGUGUGAGGACACUGCAAGAAAGCCCUCAUCAGACACCAACUGCCAGCACCUAGAUCUUGGAAUUCUCAGCCUCCAGAACUGUGAGAAACACGUUUCUGUUUUUCUAUAAAAUAAUAAUAAUAAAAAACUUCCAUGCAGGAAAAAAAAUCAAGUUCAAAGGUCCUGUGGUGAGGGCAUACCAGCUUUGUUUGAGAAGCAGUAAUCAUGCCUGUGUGACUGUAAUGAAAGAAUAAAAGAGAAAUGAGCACAGAAGAAUAUAAUGUAGUCCUUUUCAUUUUAAGCAAGAAAUUUGGCUUCAAUUCUAAAUGUGAUAAGAAAAAAACAGAAGGUUCCAAACUGAGAAGUGACAUAAUAUGAAAUGUUUUAACAGAAUCACCUUGUUACCAUAUUGCAAAUAAAAUGAAAGUGCAUCAAGGGCAGAAGUAGGAAGGCAAGUUAUGAGGUCAUUUUGAUAAUCCAGAGGAGCUGGGAUGAUGACUUACAGCAGUAUAGUAGCAAGGGUUGGGUGAGAACGUGGAAUCCUGGGUAUAUAUUAAAGUUUCAGCAAAAAGGAUUUAUAGAUGAAACAGAUAUGGGUUAUGAGAAAGAGUCAAGUUAAAGAUUAUAUCAAAAUUUUUUAUCUGAACAACUGGUAGUAUUGUGGUGAAUCCUUACCCCAUCAAUUUACGUGACCGAUAACUGAGUGGGAACAUUAAGGAAGGGAUGGUUUGAGUGAGAAUCAGGAUCUCAGUUUGGAAAUAUUAAGUUGAAUAUGCCUAUUUAAUAAUCAAAUGAAAAAUAGUAUUUUUGUAAUUUUCAGUAUUUAUUUGGCAAGAGAUUAAAUAAUCUAUAGCAUUGUUACUACUUUCUCUUUUUCAUAAAAGUUAUUUUGGUAUAAAAUCAACCUGACUGGGAACUAUCCAAAUAUAUAAGCCUUUAGCUUUGACCUAUUACUUAUAUUUUUUUGCCAUUAAUAAUAUGAACAUCCACUAAACAAGAACUUGAGACUAUAACUCUUCUCUAUUAAAUCUUCAUAUUAAAUUAGCCAUUUAAAUAGGAUUAUUAUUUUCAUUUAUUGCUGAAUACUUUCCAUUACAUUCAAACUUAUUGAGACAUCCUUAAAUUUUGUAAUUUAUUUAACGGAUUAAUUCCUUAGCUUCUAAACUGGUUUUCUGUACGGCAACCCUAUUUUCUUCUUAAUAACUCAUCAUCUACAUCCCCCAAUGUCUUAUUUUUCCAAAACAAAAGUGCACUAAUGCCCUUCUAGGGCAAAAAUUUCUUUAAUGGCUUUCUAUUGUUAUAGAUAAAGUUCAAACUUAUUAUGACGGCCUAUAAUUUUGGGGAAAAAACUCACCUAAAAACAGUUUUUAAAAGAUUAGAAUUCAAAUGCUUGAAAUUUCAGUUAUUUUAUGAGCUUUCUAUUCAAACAUUUCAGGGAGCUAAGACAUUACAUACUACACUACUACUACUACUACAAAUAAUAAUAAUAACAACAAUUAUAGUUACUCAUCUCAGUUUUGGCAGAGGAUACCAUUUAUAUAAAGAAUGUAAUUUGAUUGUAGCUAUUAAAAUAGUUACUAGACAAGAACUAGGAUGAUGGUAACAUUGACUUUUUAUCUGAAUCCUGGCUAUAUGUUUUCUGUUUGAAAAAAAAGUCAUUAAGUAUAAAAUUAUAAUUUUUAUAAUUUUGGAAUACAUAUUAUAAUAACACAUUUUUUUUAAACUGAGAAUUUAAGAUUUAAAAAGUACAGUAGGGGAAAGAAAAGGAAAAUAUAUUUUCUAUGUGCUUGUUUUAAUAAAUAAUGCCACCGAGGAUGUAAGUUUUCAAUGUCUAAUUAUUAAAUCAGCAUUACUUUCAUUAUUUUAACAACCUUCAUGGGGUUCUUAUAUUGAGACUCAAAUUAAAUAUGUAAUAUUAAUCCUAAUAUAGCUAUUUUUUCCUAACAAGAGCAUAAAACUUCCAAAAUUUCAUUCUGCAUAUUUAUAACUGAAUUUAUGACUGACAUAUUUCUUUUUCAAAUCAUGUCCAUCAUUAUAUGAACGGGUACUGAAUUUAUCCAUAUUUACUUACGUCUUUCUUCAGCCCCUCUGUCAACCCACUUAUCUUUUUGAUAGCUCAGUGAGCUGGCACUAGUUUUGUACCUCAGGAUGUUUACUCUGGCUAAUUUUGCCACUGAUCUUCUAAUGUCUGGUGCUUGGCAAUAAAGUCCCAGUUGGAGUUUUCAACCAACAGCAGUUUGCAUUCAGUUACUUAAUCUCUGUUUUGCAAUCUUAGUACCUUCCUUUCUGAUUGAAUGAAGACAGUUGCUCCUAGGGAUACCUGAACCUGAAAUGAACUGAAAAUAUUUUAUAGCUUUUCAAUUUGCCAGGCAGUAGAAGAAAAAUUCAUACCAAUCCCAUUGCUACAAACAGCUGUUACUAUAAGGUGAUAUUGCUAUGGAAUCCUAAAAUAGAACAAGGCAAAUACCAUCCCUGUGAGGGUUCUACUAUAUUUUGUGGAUCUCCAGCUGGAAACUUAAUUGUAAUAUAAACUGAGCAUACAGAAACAGCUUUCCUGCUUCUAUUCAGCAUACUUUCACUGAAUUGGAUAAUUUAAUCAAUAAGUUACAACACUCUUUAGUGUGAAGCUGCAUAAAAUUCUAGAAGGAGAGAAAAUUUGAUCUUUGAUUUCUAUUAUCUUUAUCUUCCUGCAUUAUAUUCUUCCAUGACUUUAGCUAAUACCUCUCCCCAUCACAAUAAAGUCUUUAAACACUUAGAAUCUAUUUUCUGUUUCUUGUGUCCAUAUCCUAUAACCAAAGACCACCAGGAACACCCCUGAGUUUAUUCUUGUUUACAGCAAUAAAUACUUCACACAAUGGGGAAAUGUGAAGUUAUCUCAGUAAGAGAGUAUUAAAAGAACCUAUUGUAUCAUUUGGGAUUUGGUUAUUUGGGGAAGAAAUUAAGGAAGCAAGACUGCCCUGGAUUGUCUGUUACCAGGAAGUGGGAGCAAUUUUAUGAUUAGGUAUGUCACCAAAUCUUAUCUAUAUGGAUGACAUACUAGAGUGAGGCUAAUGUAAUUGAGGAUAAGGUAACUGCUAAAGAAACAACAGUCACUUGUAUCUGGUAUGUUGUGAUUUGGACAACGUUCCUGUUUUGUUUAUGCUCAGAUAAAAUUAAGGAUUGUUGUUGUUUUUGUCAUUGUCCAUCA
RNAcentral lists this long non-coding RNA (4260 nucleotides) under Homo sapiens (human). RNAcentral's name for it is "HSALNT0045305". Lineage: Eukaryota; Metazoa; Chordata; Mammalia; Primates; Hominidae. The record is from RNAcentral.